GCCGAGGUGGUGGAAUUGGCAGACACGCUAUCUUGAGGGGGUAGUGCCUAUUAUAGGCAUGCGGGUUCAAGCCCCGCUCUCGGCA
Molecule: transfer RNA, 85 nt
Filed under: Candidatus Enterovibrio escicola
Lineage: Bacteria; Pseudomonadati; Pseudomonadota; Gammaproteobacteria; Vibrionales; Vibrionaceae
Description: Candidatus Enterovibrio escacola tRNA-Leu
Rfam family: tRNA
About the family: Transfer RNA (tRNA) molecules are approximately 80 nucleotides in length. Their secondary structure includes four short double-helical elements and three loops (D, anti-codon, and T loops).
Source: RNAcentral